This 1131-nucleotide long non-coding RNA is filed under the name Phasianus colchicus (ring-necked pheasant). RNAcentral describes it as "lncRNA (ENSPCLG00000011233.1)". The record is from RNAcentral. Lineage: Eukaryota; Metazoa; Chordata; Aves; Galliformes; Phasianidae.
GGAGCAAACUAAGGAGUGGCUCAUUGCUCACCAAGCCAUAAGCCUGUUGUUAAUUUAGAUUAGGUCUUAUCACCUGGAGUCAGUGCUCCCUGGGUAUGAAGUUGGCUUUAACCAGCCCUGCCCAAGGAGGGAGCUCUGGGAGGAAUUACACUGAACAGAAGAAUGGGCUGCUGUGUUAUGCUUUCAUUACCUUUGGAUUAAAAGCACUGGGAGUGAAGUCAAAUUGAGGAAGAACCUCCUUGGGUGGGCAGAACAAAGUCACAGAGCCCAUGGGAAGGCAGUGCCGCAUGAUGAGGAGCUGUGCCAGGGCUGGAGAAAGCCUGAGUCCUGCUGCAUCCCGAAGGAAGCAGAGAUGAUGGGCUUGUGUGGCUUCAAGCAUAAGGUAAAAAGGAAGAUUUUGCACAAAGCAGGAUUAAGCCGUGAAGACAGAAUUUCAGAAGAGCAGUGCAGCCCCCAUUUCAUUUCCUAUGGCGCAGAGAGCACGCAGCAUUCAGGAUGGUCACAUCUAGUAGAACAUACCCGUGAUGUUACCACAGCGUUGCUCCAUCAGCAGGCAGCGGCACACAGCAGGGACGGAGCCAGGCAUGCAGCAUGGCCAGCACACAGCCCUGCCGAGAGCCCACCAUGCACUCCUCUGCCUUGCGUCACCACUUCAGCCCAAGCUCCUGAGCCAACGUCUCUGCCCCACAUUCAGCUCCAAGCAUUCUGAAGGUGAGUCUGUGCCACCUUGCCCAGUGUGAUGCACUGAUUGAUGCUCUGUUGCAGUCAUUACAUGUCCUGGUGGUUUGCAGGAUAAUGCUGUGCAACUUAACGAUAUCACAGUUGCACAAAUCAAGUGGAAGAAGCCAAGGUCUAGAAUCUCCAGCAUUCAAUUCUUCUAAUGGCCUUGGGCUCAUCUGCAGCAGGCAGGGUCACAGGGCAUGGUUUAUAGAAAAAUUUCAUACCUGAACACCCCAAAAGCUGUUGCAGUGGCCUGGGGUGCUUGGCCUUUCAGGGCCCUCAGUGAUACUUACACAGAAUGUAUGGGCAGAAGACUGAGUGCCAACAUGUGCUCUUGGAUCUCAGUUAGUAAAGUGUGACUCUGCAAGUUGUUUCAAUAAAUCAACUCUUUGAAAUUUAAUGAGGGAACUG